Molecule: non-coding RNA, 24 nt
Filed under: Drosophila melanogaster (fruit fly)
Lineage: Eukaryota; Metazoa; Arthropoda; Insecta; Diptera; Drosophilidae
Source: RNAcentral
UAAUAGUCAAUAUAGUUAAGAGGG